CUGAGGUCAGGCAAGAACACCCGCUGAACUUAAGCAUAUCAAUAAGCGGAGGAAAAGAAACCAACAGGGAUUGCCCUAGUAACGGCGAGUGAAGCGGCAACAGCUCAAAUUUGAAAUCUGGCGCAAGCCCGAGUUGUAAUUUGUAGAGGAUGCUUCGGCGUCGGCCCCGUUCUAAGUUCCUUGGAACAGGACGUCCUAGAGGGUGAGAACCCCGUCUUCGAUCGGGUCGCCGUCGCCAUGUGAAGCUCCUUCGACGAGUCGAGUUGUUUGGGAAUGCAGCUCUAAGCGGGAGGUAAAUUUCUUCUAAAGCUAAAUAACGGCCAGAGACCGAUAGCGCACAAGUAGAGUGAUCGAAAGAUGAAAAGCACUUUGGAAAGAGAGUUAAAAAGUACGUGAAAUUGUUGAAAGGGAAGCUCAAGCUGCCAGACUUGGCCGCGCCUCUUCGGUGGCGCGGGCAGGCCAGCAUCAGUCCGGGCGGCCUGAUAAAGACCUUUGGAAUGUAGCUCCCUCGGGAGUGUUAUAGCCUCGGGUGUAAUGGGGUCAGCCUGGACUGAGGAUCGCGUUCGCUAGGAUGCUGGCGUAAUGGCAGUUUGCGACCCGUCUUGUAACACGGACCAAGGAGUCUAACAUACGUGCGAGUACUAUGGUGGCAAACCAUUGUGCGCAAUGAAAGUGAAGGCUGGCUUCCGUCAGCUGAGGUGGGAUCCGCAAGGAGCACCAUCGACCGACCAUGUCCCUUCGGGGUAAAGGUUUGAGUGUGAGCAUUUAUGUUGGGACCCGAAAGAUGGUGAACUAUGCCUGAAUAGGGCGAAGCCAGGGGAAACUCUGGUGGAGGCUCGUAGCGAUUCUGACGUGCAAAUCGAUCGUCAAAUUUGGGUAUAGGGGCGAAAGACUAAUCGAACCAUCUAGUAGCUGGUUCCCUCCGAAAUUUCCCUUAGGAUAGCUGCAACCGGUUAAGAGUUUUAUCAGGUAAAGCGAAUGAUUAGAGGAUUCGGGGACGGAAUGUCCUCGACCUAUUCUCAAACUUUAAAUGGGUAAGAACCCGGGGUUGCUUAAUUGAACCCUGCGGUCGAAUCUCGGUUGCUAGUGGGCCAGUCCGGGUAAGCUGGACUGGCGAUGCGGGAUGAUCCGAACGCUGAGUUAAAGUGCCUAACUGCUCGCUCACCUAGAUCCCACAAAAGGUGUUGGUUCAUCCAGACAGCAGGACGGUGGCCAUGGAAGUCGGAAUCCGCUAAGGAGUGUGUAACAACUCACCUGCCGAAUGAACUAGCCCUGAAAAUGGAUGGCGCUCAAGCGUGCUACCCAUACCUCGCCGCCGGGGUAGAAACGAUGCCCCGGCGAGUAGGCUGGCGUGGAGGCCCGUGACGAAGCCUAGGGAGUGAUCCCGGGUAGAACGGCCUCUAGUGCAGAUCUUGGUGGUAGUAGCAAAUACUCAAAUGAGAACUUUGAGGACUGAAGUGGGGAAAGGUUCCAUGUGAACAGCAGUUGGACAUGGGUUAGUCGAUCCUAAGGGGCAGGGAAACUCCGUUUUAACGUGCGCACUUGUGCGCCGCUCCCCGAAAGGGAAACCGGUUAACAUUCCGGUACCUGGAUGUGGAUUCUCCACGGCAACGUAACUGAAGGCGGAGACGUCGGCGGGGGCCCUGGGAAGAGUUCUCUUUUCUUCUUAACGGUCCAUCACCCUGAAAUCGGUUUGUCCGGAGCUAGGGUUUAACGGCCGGUAGAGCCCCGCACCUUUGCGGGGUCCGGUGCGCUCCCGACGACCCUUGAAAAUCCGCCGGAAGGAAUAGUUUUCACGCCAGGUCGUACUCAUAACCGCAGCAGGUCUCCAAGGUGAAAAGCCUCUAGUUGAUAGAACAAUGUAGGUAAGGGAAGUCGGCAAAAUAGAUCCGUAACCUCGGGAAAAGGAUUGGCUCU
RNAcentral lists this ribosomal RNA (1917 nucleotides) under Heterosigma akashiwo. RNAcentral's name for it is "partial Eukaryotic large subunit ribosomal RNA". It matches the Rfam family "Eukaryotic large subunit ribosomal RNA", at positions 1 to 1955 of the family's 3401-position model. The record is from RNAcentral. Lineage: Eukaryota; Raphidophyceae; Chattonellales; Chattonellaceae.